This 36904-nucleotide long non-coding RNA is filed under the name Gossypium raimondii (Peruvian cotton). Its description in RNAcentral is "long non-coding RNA (GRAI_LNC006017)". Lineage: Eukaryota; Viridiplantae; Streptophyta; Magnoliopsida; Malvales; Malvaceae. The record is from RNAcentral.
UUUUUGAUUCAUCAUCUGAUCUGUGUUAAAUUUCCCAGAUCUGUACAAGAUGAUCAACAGAAACAAUGGGGAUUUUGUUACAUAUGCUAUGAUGGACCUCUAACAGCUUGAGAGCGUGACAAUUUCACGCGAACGAAUUUCUAUUUUUACUCGAUGAUAACUGGGUGAACUCUAUGUCGGAUAAAGGCAAAAUAAUGUAACGGUGAAGAUGUUUUCGAUAAGUUCCUUUGCUUCUUUUCUGGCUUCGGCUAACAUAGAGUUCACCUGGCUAUCAUCGGGUAACAAUGGAGGUUGUUUAACUUCUUAAACAGUGGGUCAAUUCGUGUGGUUCAAAUGUCACUCUCUCAUGCUGUUUAAGGUACUUUAUAGGUUGAUCUAAUCUCAAAGACAUUGAUCAAGAAUUUCAAGGGUGAGUUAAAGGACACUUCUUUAGCAGAAGCUGAGACAAAGCAGAGAUUGCUCGAAAACACCCGAAGUUCGAACAAUUCGAUCAAUAAUAGAAGAUAAUGUUUACAAAUCUAAUCAGUGGUAAUGAUUUGCAAGUGUUUAGUUUAUUUUGGCAUUUUCUAUAUCUUUUUGAUCAUGUUCUUUCUUUCUUUUUUUUAAUUGAUAUUUCUGACAGAUAUAUUUUAGGGUUUUGUUUUGUUUUGUUUGCUUUUUAAUGUUAAUUAAAAAACCCAUCUUCUUCGCAGCUUCCUACUUUCAAAAGUCUGAACCUUUAACCCUAGUUUACUAAUGUAAGUUACUUUUUUUAGGAAAAAAUAAAGGAGCAAAAAGUUCAACCAUUUCUGCUUUGUUUCUCUUAGUUCUUUUCAACCUAGUUUGACUUUAUUUUAUGGCAUUGGCUUCAACUUUUGUCUGCUUCUUUCUUUAUUAUUAUGAUUUUUUACAUAAUUAUGUUAGUGUGCAAAUCGCUUUCUUUGGGUUGUGAUUUUUGAAGUGUGUUAAGGUCUGGGUUUUAGAUGUGGAAGAUGCUUUGUCUUAAAGGUUGGUGAGUGUGUGGACCUGGUUUUUAGUUUCCCAUCUCCUUUACAUCUUUAACAUGACGCCUUUUUCUUCGUUUCCGUGGUUUGGUAAGCUCUAAAACAGCUUGCAUUUUUGUCUCUUUUCCUUUCAACUUCUCACCUCUUCCCAAUUUUCCACUCUUAAUCUUUGUAAUUUCUUCAUUGCUUUUUUCGCUACUUACUUUCUCUAACUUUGGCGCUUCAUUUUUUUCAUGUCUAGAUUCAAAGUGCUUUGCUUGUAAACGCUAAAUGCAUCUCCUUGGUUUGUUUUCUGGCUCAAUUCCCUGAUCUUUUGCAUGCAUCUUUGAAUUUUAACUUGGAAAACCAUCAAAUAUGUUCUAAGAUCUAUAUGCUUUUCAGCUGGUUUAUUUUCACCCAAUUUAGAGCUCUUUUUUAGUUAAAAUUUUUUGUUUGAAAGUUGAUUUUGAAAGCAAAAUCUGUAUAGAUUUCAUUUUGGUCAUUUGUUUUUCCUUGUUACUAUUUAUCUCUUUUUUUUUUUUUUCUUAAUUAUUGUGUGUGCAUGUGGCAAGGGCAAGAAAUGACAAAUAGCACUGUAAGUCAUAAUCAUGCAGCUCCAAAAUGGGACCCUUAAAAACCAUAUGGAUAUGAUGAAGAUGAAGGAUAGAGAAGCUGUUUGCGAGAAAAAAGCUGAUUUAGCGCUUUGUUGAUGCCGUGGAGAUGAGCACUCAAGACAAAGGGAGAACAACUUUCGGUUAAAAUCGAGAUAACUAUUUAACAGUUUGAACAAUUUGUGUGAUUUUUUUAUUAGUAAUUUUUUCAACCAUUUUAAAAUUAUCCUAUUGACCCAACCGGAAAAAUUGAUUUAAUUUAAAAUAUUUUUUAUUAUUUAUAAUUUUAAAAUUCAUAAAUAUAUAUAAAUUAUAAAAUCUAUUUUUUUUUCUUUCUCCCUAUUUAUUCUAAAAUAUUUUUUAUCGCACUGAAAUUAUCUCAUUAAUCAGUUAAUAAUAUAUUAAAAUUUUAUUUUCUUAACUAAUUGUGUGGUGGUUUAGUAAUUAGUUUAGGCAAAUACAAUAUUGAAAUAUGAUUGCUUUGAAUUAACGCUUAUCUAUUAUUUAUUCGUAAGUAAGUAUAAUCUAUCAUUGUUAUGUCAUUUAAAAUGAAAUGAUCAUUUUGGAAGGAAGAAUUCAAGUUUGUGGUUGAUCAGGUUUUUUUAGGGGAUUUAUUUUAAUGUUUUUGUUAAUCAUCUCUCUCCGUCGUGCCUUUAAAAAAUUUCACCUCUCAUGUCAUAAUCCUUUUUAUAGAUUAUCUUGGCAUAAUAUUUUGCUAUUUCUUCCUAUUUUGGCAUCUUCUAAUUUAUGUUUUAUUAAAAUUUUAAAAAUUAUCAUAAUUUUUAAAAUUUUCAAUAUUCUUAUAAUUUUUAUAAUUUUUAAUCAUUUAAAAAAUUAAUGACGUCAUUAAAAAAUUUACAAUUUCAAGUACUGAAUAACUUAUAUAUAAAUUUACGAUUUUAAUUACUGAAAUUCAUAAAAUUUAAACCUAACAAUGUUAGUCAUCACGUGAUACAAAAUGAAAUAUAUCAAAAUAACACCAACAUAAAAUAUAUCAAUGUCUCAAAAUCCAUAUAAUGUUAGAUAUUAAUCUUUCAAAGUCUAUAUUAGUAUAAAGCAUCUCAAAUAUGAUUAUAACAAAACAAAAUAUAUGAAUACGAUGCAGAUAAACAAGUAAAUUUAGAAACAGGUAAAUUAUAAAAAUAAUUAUUUUUGUAUUCAAUAACAUAUAUUAAUCAUUUAAAUAAUAUAUUAUUAAUUUUAAAGUGAGUGCUAAUCUAAUAUUAAUCUAACGUUAAUCCUUUAAUUUAUAAUUUAUUCGUAAAUAAUGGAAAGUUACAUAAUUUCUUAAAAUAUUUUAAUAAUUAAAGCAAAAUAAAAAGAGUAGGAAUCAAAUUGACAAAAAUUAUAAAAAUUGAAGGAUUAAUUGUACUUAAUUUUUUUAAUAGAGUUAAUAGAAAUAGUUAAUGGAGAAACUGAAAAUGAACAAAUGAAAAAUAAAAAAUUAAAUUUGAGCAAAUGAAAAUAGAAAAAUCAACUCCUAAGUAUGGGAAAUUGCAUGUCUUUUGAGUCUAAAUUUGUUCAUUUCAUAAACCAAUUUUAGGACAACGACAUCAAUAAAGUGGAGUACAAAGAUUUUCAAGGCUUAGAAGAUGCAUUAGCAAACACUACCUGGGAGGAAGUUCCAGACUACCUCAAACUUAUUGGGAUCCGAAUAGAAGAUGCUCAUGGUAAAGCUACUGAGUUUUCCCAUAUUAAAAUAUAAAUUCUGGUCUGCACUGUAAUUAAAGGGAUGAAAGGUAUGUCACUUGAGGAUUUGGAUUGGGGUACAUUGAAAAAGUGGGCAGCUGCGCUGAAUUACGCUAAUGAACAUGGUUUUCAAGUAGGAUUUGCUAAUAAUCUGUUUGAGAGGAAUGUGGUUGCCUACUUUCAGAAAAAUGAGCUCUAUCAGCUUUCAUAGUUUAUAUUUAAUCCUCUAUCUAACAUUCUACUAUGUUUUAAUGUCUCAUAUUGCGUCAAGUAUGUUUAUGGUUUUCAAUGUCUAAAAUCAUGAGUUGUUGUAUUGAACAUGUUUUUGUAACAUCCGCGUUUUAACUUGGGGUUAGGUACAGUAAUGGAUCGGGUCAAGAAUUAGUAUAAAAUUUUUAAAAUAUAAUAAAUAGGAAUUUUGAGUAUUAAAUUAGGAAGUAUAUAGAUUCACUAAGAAAUUAGAAAAAAAAAUACUCUUUAGAUAGGAAAUUUUAAGAUAGAUACAUUAAUUUAGUUGAAAGAAUAAAGAAAUUGUUGUGGCCAAAGUAGGAAAAAUAUUAAGUUAGGAGAUAUAUAAUAGUAGAGGAAAGGAAUGAAGGAUUAAAAAAAAAAUUAAUCAAAGUGAUAUAUGAGUCAUAUUACGAAAUAUGAAAGAUGAGAAAGGACAAAAUGGUAAUUAGUCAAGUGGAUAUUUAUUCGAUGAUGGGUAAAAGUACAAAGAUGGAUAGCUUAAGGACUUAGUAGCAAUUUGACUAUUUUAAUUAAAAGAUGCGAUAUUUUAGCUGUAGGGAUAAAUUUUAAAAUUAUAUAUAAAUUUUAAUUUAAUGUGUAAUUAUAUAUAUAAAUUUUAAUUUAGUAUAAUUAUGUAAGUGAAACUCUAACUGUGGUUCAAAUGUAUAAUUUAAAUUUAAAUUUAAAUUUAAUCUUAAAUAAAUAAAUAAAUAAAUUUAUUUAAAUAAAUAAAUAAAUAUAAUUAUUUAUAAAUACAAUAUAUAAAUAAAUAAUUUUUUUAUCAAUAAUUAUAUUAAUAAUUUAUAAGAAUAUACUCAAAUCAAAAUCUCAUAAAUAAAUUUAUCAAAUUUAUCGACAGAGUUUUGAAACUUGUCAAAUUAUCGACAGAGUUUUAUUUUUUAUUCUCUUCUUCGUCCUUUAGUGUCUCCCGCCGCUUCCCUUAACCUCUAUUUAUUCAAUCCCCAAAUUGAAAUUAGGUCACUAUUCUCCCCUCUUAUCUCCACUGUAGACAAAACAAAGGAGUAGGUACUACUUAAUUUACCAGCUAAUUUUCGUCGCAGUCCAUACAUUUCUUGUUUUGAUCUUGCAGAAUUUCUUCUUUUAUUACUUGAGGAAACUUCGUUUCGUAGGGUUUCGUUUUGAUAGUUUAUAUAUCCGUGGUUUGAUCUUUUUUUGUUCCUCAGGUCUGUGCUAAAUGAGUGAAAACCAGGACAUCCCUUGCCCGAUUGGGGUUGUUUCUGACGCUGAGAGUGAUCCACCUGAAAAUGAACCUGAUGAUACCCAGAUGCAUUUGUCGAUGUCGACUGGAAGCAAGAAAAGAAGCCGGGAAAUCGAUGACUCAGUGGAGGCUAAAGGAAAAGCCCCCAAGAAAUGGACAUCGGGAAAAGAAGCUUUAAACUCCCUAUUUAUUCUAAAUAUUUUUUAUCACACUGAAAUUAUCUCAUUAAUCAGUUAAUAAUAUAUUAAAAUUUUAUUUUCUUAACAAAUUGUGUGGUGGUUUAGUAAUUAGUUUAUGCAAAUACAGUAUUGAAAUAUGAAUGCUUUGAAUUAACGUUUAUCUAUUAUUUAUUCGUAAGUAAGUAUAAUCUAUCAUUGUUAUGUCAUUUAAAAUGAAAUGAUCAUUUUGGAAGGAGGAAUUCUAGUUUGUGGUUGAUCAGGUUAUUUAGGGGAUUUAUUUUAAUGUUUUUGUUACUCAUCUCUCUCCGCCGUGCCUUUAAAAGAUUUCACCUCUCAUGUCAUAACCCUUUUUAUGGAUUAUCUUGGCAUAAUAUUUUGCAAUUUCUUCCUAUUUUGGCAUCUUCUAAUUUAUGUUUUUAUUAAAAUUUUAAAAAUUAUCAUAAUUUUUAAAAUUUUCAAUAUUCCUAUAAUUUUUAUAAUUUUUAAUCAUUUAAAAAAAUUAAUAAUUUUCACAAAAUUUUAAUAAUUUUUACAACUUUUAAAUAUUAUUUAUACAUGUAUAGUUUUUAAGUUUUCUACAAACUUUAUAUUUUGUACAAGUUUUUUUAUAAUAAUAUUAUUAAAUUCAAUUAAUUUUUAAAUGAUAUUUUUGUUCCCAAUAAAAAAUUAAAACAAUUAUAAGUUUAGGACCUAAAUUGGAUCCAAAAAAUAAGUCAGUCUUCAAAAAGCAGUUUAAUUCAAAUAAUAAAUGAAAAUAAAAUAGGCUUAAAUACAUAUUAGGCACCAAACUUGGCAUCUUCUUUUAAUUUGAUGUUUAUGGUUUUUUUCCCAACUUGGUACCCGAACAACUUUUCGAUCUAUUAUUUUAGUGCUUUUUUGCAACUGUUUUCAUUUUCAAUGACGCGAUAAUACCAUUUUGUGGCACAUGAAAAAUAUUAUUUGAAAAUUUGAAAACUUCAAAUUUCUAUAAAAAUUCAAAUAUAUAAAUUUAACAAAUAUAAUUUUAAAAUUUAUAUAAAUUUUAAAAAAAUCUCAAAAUUUAAAAUAUAUGUAAAAACUGAAAAGAAAAUUACAAAAAUAACAUAAUUUGAGAGUGUCAAGAGUUUUAAAAUUAACGACGUCAUUAAAAAAUUUACAAUUUCAAGUACUAAAUAACUUAUAUAUAAAUUUACGAUUUUAAUUACUGAAAUUCAUAAAAUUCAAACCUAACAAUGUUAGUCAUCAUGUUAUACAAAAUGAAACAUGUAAAAAUAACACCAACAUAAAAAUAUAUCAAUGUCUCAAAAUCCAUAUAAUGUUUCAAAGUCUAUAUUAGUAUAAAGCAUCUCAAAUAUGAUUAUAACACAACAAAAUAUAUGAAUACGAUGCAGAUAAACAAAUAAAUAUAGAAACAGAUAAAUUAUAAAAAUAAUCAUUUUUGUUUUGAAUAACAUAUAUUAAUCAUUUAAAUAAUAUCUUAUUAAUUUUAAAGUAAGUGCUAAUCUAAUAUUAAUCUAACAUUAAUCUUUAAUUUAUAAUUUAUUCGCAAAUAAUGGAAAGUUACAUAUUUUUUUUAAAAUAUUUUAAUAACUAAAGCAAAAUAAAAAGAGUAGGAAUUAAAUUGACGAAAAUUAUAAAAAUUGAGGGAUUAAUUGUACCUAAUUUUUUAACAGAGUUAAUAGAAAUAGUUAAUGGAGAAUUUGAAAAUGAACAAAUGAAAAAUAAAAUAUUAAUUUUGAGCAAAUAAAAAUAGAAAAAUUAACUCCUAAGUAUAGGAAAUUGCAUGUCUUUUGAGUCUAAAUUUGUUCAUUUCAUAAACCAAUUUUAGGACAACGACAUCAACAAAGUGGAGUACAAAGAUUUUCAAGGCUUAAAAGAUGCAUUAGCAAACAGUGUCUGGGAGAAGUUCCAGACUUCCUCAAACCUAUUGGGAUCCAAGUAGAAGAUGCUUGUGAAAAAGCUACUGAGUUUUCUCAUACUGGAAUACAGAUUCUGGUAUGCGCUGUAAUUAAAGAGAUGGAAGAUAUGUCACUUGAGGAUUUGGAUUAGGGUACAUUGAAAAAGUGAGCAGCUGCGGAGGAUUUGCUAAUGAACAUGGUUUUCAAGUAGCAUUUGCUAAUAAUAUGUUGCAGAGGAUUUGCGUCAAGUAUGUUUAUGGUUUUCAAUGUCUAAAAUCGUGAGUUAUUGGAUUGAACAUGUUUUUGUAACAUCUGCGUUUUAACUUGGGUUAGGUACAGUAAUAGAUCGGGUCAAGAAUUAGUAUAAAAUUUUUAAAAUAUAAUAAAUAGAAAUUUUGAGUCUUAAAUUAGGAAGUAUAUAGAUUUAAUAAGAAAUUAGAAAAAAAAAUACUCUUUAGAUAGGAAAUUUUAAAAUAGAUAUAUUAAUUUAGUUGAAAGAAUAAAGAAAUUGUUGUGGCCAAAGUAGGAAAAAUAUUAAGUUAGGAGAUAUAUAAUAGUAGAGGAAAGGAAUGAAGGAUUAAAAAGAAAAUUAACCAUUAACCAAAGUGAUAUAUGAGUCAUAUCACAAAAUAUGAAAGAUGAGGAAGGACAAAAUGGUAAUCAUACAAAAUAUGAAAGAUGAGGAAGGACAAAAUGGUAAUCAUUCAAGUGGAUAUUUAUUAGGUGUAAUGAUGAUGGGUAAAAGUAAAAAGAUGGAUAGCUUAAGGACUUAGUAGCAAUUUGACCAUUUUAAGUAUAAAAAGUGGAGAAAUCAACCGACCAAACCUUUAUUCCCUACAUGUCUUUCCAUCAUAGUUUAACAAUCGAAGCUUCAAACCUUUAUUUAUUUUUUUAAAAAAAUUUACUUAGUAAAAAUUAAAGAGUUAAAGACUCAAUCAGCUAAUUUCUCAAAAUUUUAAACUUUCAUUACUUUUUAUGAAAUAAUUUAUUUUUAUUUAACUUUCAUAAUAACUUUGUGUUAAUUCUAUAUUUUUUCGUAAAAAACUUCUAAAAUUUUAUAAUGAAUAUUAAGAAUGGAUUCAAAGUAACACAAUUUUCAAAUUUUCAUUCAUUACUUUUUAUUUCUCACUAUUAUUCUUUUAGUCUCAUGUUUUUGCUUUGUUCAUUUGUAGUUUUCUACUGUUUUUGAAUUCUCAAACUGAUCAUAAUCUUAUAAUGGCUAAAAAAUUAAAGAGAUGGAAGAUAUGUCAUUUGAGGAUUUGGAUUGGGGUACAUUGAAAAAGUGGGCAGCAGCGCUGCAUUACGCUAAUGAACAUGGUUUUCAAGUAGGAUUUGCUAAUAAUCAGUUGCAGAGGAAUGUGGUUGCCUACUUUCAAAAAAAGGAGCUCUAUCAGCUCUCAUAGUUUAUAUUUAUUCCUGUAUCUAACAUUCUGCUAUGUUUUAACGUCUCAUUUUGCGUCAAGUAUAUUUAUGGUUUUCAAUUUCUAAAAUCGUGAGUUGGUGUAUUGGGUAUGUUUUUGUAACAUCCGCGCUUUAAUUUGGGUUAGGUACAGUAAUGGAUCGGGUUAAAAAUUAGUAUAAAAUUUUUAAAAUAUAAUAAAUAGGAAUUUUGAAUAUUAAAUUAGGAAGUAUAUAGAUUCAAUAAGAAAAUAAGAAAAAAAAAAUACUCCUUAGAUAGAAAAUUUUAAAAUAGAUACAUUAAUUUAGUUGAAAGAAUAAAUAAAUUGUUGUAGCCAAAGUAGGAAAAAUAUUAAGUUGGGAGAUAUAUAUAAUAGUAGAGGAAAGGAAUAAAGGAUUAAAAAGAAAUUUAACCAAAGCGAUAUAUGAGUCAUACUAGAAAAUAUGAAAGAUGAGGAAGGACAAAAUUUUAAUUAGCCAAGUGAAUAUUUAUUCGUUGAACAACGAUGGGUAAAAGUACAAAGAUGGAUAGCUUAAGGACUUAGUGGCAAUUUGACCUUUUUAAUUAAAAGGUGAAAUAUUUUAGUGGUAGGAAUAAAUUUUAAAAUUAUACAUUAAUUUUAAUUUAAUGUAUAAUUAUAUAUAUUAAUUUUAAUUUGAUGUAAUUACGUAGUAAAAUUUUAAUUGUGAUUGAAAAGUAUAAUUCAAACUUUAAUUUCAAUUUAAUUUUAAAUAAAUAAAUAUAUUAAUUUAUUUUUAUAUUAAAUAAAUAUAAUUCUUUAUAUAUACAAUAUAUAAAUAAAUAAUUUUAAAUAAAUAAUUAUAUUAAUAAUUUAAAAAAAUCGAAUCAAAUUAAAUCAAAAUCUCAUAAAUAAAAUUAUCAAAUUUAUCAAAUUUAUCGACAGAGUUUUGAAACUUAUCAAAUUCAUCGACAGAGUUUUUGUUCGUCCUUUAGUGUCUGCCGCCGCUUCCCUUAACUUCUAUUUAUUCAAUCCCCAAAUUGAAAUUAGGUCAUUAUUCUCCUCUCUUUCUCUUAUCUCCACUGGAGACAAAACCAAGGAGUAGGUACUACUUAAUUUACCAGCUAAUUUUCAUCGCAGUCCAUGCAUUUCUUGUUUUGAUCUUGCAGAAUUUCUUCUUUUAUUACUUGAGGAAACUUCGUUUAGUAGGGUUUCGUUUUGAUAGUUUAUAUAUCCGUGGUUUGAUCUUUUUUUGUACCUCAGGUCUGUGCUAAAUGAGUGAAAACCAGGACAUCCCUUGCCCGAUUGGGGUUGUUUCUGACGCUGAGAGUGAUCCACCUGAAAAUGAACCGGAUGAUACCCAGAUGAAUUUGUCGAUGUCGACUGGAAGCAAGAAAAGAAGCCGGGAAAUCGAUGACUCAGUGGAGGCUAAAGGAAAAGCCCCCAAGAAAUGGACAUCGGGAAAAGAAGCUUCAAACUCCCAGCAACAGCCAAAACCGAAAAGUGAAAAGAACUGUGGGGAAGCCGUGCAAAACAGAUUGAAAAAUUAUUUUGGAUUGGAUCUGUCUCUGGAUUUAGUCAUUUUGUGUUCUGGUUGUUUCAAGUUCAGACCGUCUUGAGUUUGAGUUCAAGUCAGUUUGAGUUUGCUUCAAUUUGGUUGUCCCAAACGAAGAAACUGUGGUUUUUGUAUGAAAUUGUGUAGUUUGUUGUGUAAUUUGUAUCGUGUGCGUGUGUGUAUGUUAAUGUUAUGUACUCGUCUUAAUAAGAAUUUGAAAUAUGUAAUUGGGUUAGUGUGUUUGUUUUUGUUGGAUUUAGAGGUGUUCGUGGUUUGGAUUUGAGUUGGGUUUAAGUAUAAUAUCAACAUACUUAAUUCUUGUUCAAAUUCGGCUUGAUUUAAAAUUUAAGCUUAAAAUUUUACUUAAGUCCGUUUAUAUUUACAACAGAUUAAUUAAAAUUCAUUUUAAGGGUGGGUUUGGACGAGCGAUUAAGUACAGAUGCGUUUAGUUUAUUUUUUGUCUCACGCUUUAGUAUUACUGCAGUAUCUAAUUUUGCCGCCACCGUUAUUUUUACACUAAUUGUAAGUAAACACAUCGUUCAUCUAAAUUCAUCUUAAGUCAAUUUAUAUUAUUUUAAAAAUAUUUAUAUCAUAUUAUUUUAUUAUUUAAUAAUUCUAUACAUUUUUUAUUUAUUAAAUUUUUUAAUAGUGAUCUUAACAUCAUUUUAAUGUUUAUACUAGUGUAAUAUUAUAUAUUUACUAUAGAUUUAUUUUUUAAUAUGUUUUAAAUUACAUAAUAUAUAAAAAUAACAUAAUGUAAAGUAUCGUAAACUUAAAAUGGGUUGGGUUGGAUCAGGUCGGGCAUAAAAUGUUUAAACUCGAGCUUAACCCGUAUUUUAAACGGGUUUAAUUUUUUUUGUUCAAGUCCAUUUUUCGGAUCUAUUAUUUUUUCCAAACCCUCCCAAUUUUCGCACAGGCCUUUGAACCUAUACGAGUAACCCAAACCAUUAACAAGUCAAAUUCCACCUGUGAUAUAUAUGUGUUCAAAGGCAAAUUUCGUUAGUUUGAAUAUACAAAUUCAAUUCAUGAUUACGAUAUUAUUACUCAAUUGGGCUUAAAGUAAGAAGAUUAGUUAACACUUUUUUUAUGCAUGCGCAUAAGACUCAAUAGAAUUAGUAUCGCAAGGUCAAAGUCGACGCUAAGUUGAAAUUAAACAUUUAUUUAGGGCUAGUUUAAUAUUACUUUUCAAAAGUGCUUUUAAAAAAUGUCGUGAAAAGUUAUUUUUGAAAAGUUUAGUUUAAGAUUUAGUGUUUAGUAUUAUUGUCAAAAAAUACUUUUAAAAGAUAAAAUAUUCAUUUUAAAUAUGAUAUUAUCAAGUAAUAAAUAUGUGUUUAAAUAAUGUUCAAAUUAGUUAAUAUUAUUAUAUUUUAGUAAGAACAUAAAAUAAUAAUUUCUUAUAACCUAUUGUUAAUAUUUUAAUAUAUGAAAUAUAAAUCUUAAAUAUUUUUAAGCAAUAAAUAUUAAUUAUUUAUAAAAUUUAAUUAGAAUCUAUAAAUUAUAUUUUUAAUAAUUAAAUAUAACCAUUAAAUAUUUGUAAUUAGAUAUUAACACAUUUGUAAUUAAACAAUAAGAACAAAAAAAAAGGGAAAGUAUAUGUUGUUGGAAGGGUGAAAAUUUAAUGAAGCAUCAAAAGUACUUUUGGUAGGAGAAAAGCUAAAAAUUUUUGAUAAAAAAAAUACUUGUUUAGCACAACCUUUCUUCUAAAAAUAUGUUUUUUUUACGCAAUACUAAACAAUGCCAUACAAGACUUUGUUUCAAAGAAUUUUCAAAUAAAAAAACUAUUGUGAUUGGAGGACCAUCACUAGAGGCCUGCCCUAAAUAUGGGAAGGUUCGGGUAAAAAUAUAUGCUCGAAAUAUGAGUUUAGGCAAAAAAAUGAGGCCCGUUUAGAAAACGGGUCGGGCGUCGGGCACCACUUUUUUGGCCUGGGCCCGGCCUGAAUAUAAUAAAUAUAUAUUUUUAUUUUUAAAAUAAUUUUUGGUGUUUAUUAAAAAAAUGGGCCGGGCCAGGCCGGGCUCGGGCUUAGGAUUUUUUCCCAGGCCCAGGCCUAAGAGGCGGGCAAAAAUUUUUUUGGGCCCGGCCCGACCCAUGGACACCUUUAACCAUCACCAAGUAGAGAAUGUUGAUGCUUUUUAAGUAUAUGGAUUUAAUCUAAAUUUUUUACAUAAUGUAGGAGCCAAAAUUAAAAUUUAACUAUUAUUUUAUAAUGUAAAAAAAGUACUCUAAAUUUAUUUAAACCUAUCAAAUUGUUUUAAAAAAUUAUUUUUUGGGGAGUUGGUGGUUUGCGCCGAUGCAGGAAGUUGGGCGUGGCAGAACAAAGCCGACGCAAAAGCUUAGGGGUGAUUUAAUCAAAUAGAGUAAAAUUUUUUUUUGUUAAUAAUUUCAUGAAUCAUAUUUUAUCAUAUUUUAUCAAAUUAAGUGAAAUAAAAUUUAAAUUAAGGUGAAUUAAGUAAAAUUAUUUGAAUUAAAUUAAAAAAUUAAACCUAUUAAAUUAAAAUUUUACUAUAAUAUAAAAUUAAAACUAUAUAUCUUUGAAAUUUUUUUAAAGUAAAGUAAAAAUUAACUCUUUGGUAGUUGCCCAGUCCUUUUUUUUUUUUAGUAAAAUUCUCACCGACGACUUUCUUGGUUUCAUCCGCUUUACUCUUUGGUCGUUGCCCAUUCCCCCUUUUUUUUUUUUUUUUUUUAGUUUUGAAACUUAUCAAAUUUAUCAAUAGUUUUUAUGUUUUUUUUCUUCUUUCGAGAAAAUCAUGUUCGUCCUUUAGUGUUCGCCCUUUAGUGUCACCCGACUUCUAGUUAUUCAAUCCCCAAAUCGAAAGAAAAUCAUGUUCGUCCUUUAGUGUCCCCCGACUUCUAUUUAUUCAGUCCCCAAAUUGAAAUAAGGUCAUUAUUCUCCCCUUUUAUCUCCACUGUAGACAAGUCCGAGGAGUAGGUACUACUUAAUACCAGCUCAUUUUCAUCGCAGUCCAUACGUUUCUUGUUUUGAUCUUGCAGAAUUUCUUCUUAUAUUACUUGAGGAAACUUCGUUUCGUAGGGUUUCGUUUUGAUAGUUUAUAUAUCCGUGGUUUGAUCUUUUUUUGUUCCUUAGGUCUGUGCUAAAUGAGUGAAAACCAGGACAUCCCUUGCCCGAUUGGGGUUGUUUCGGACGCUGAGAGUGAUCCACCUGAUAAUGAACCGGAUGAUACCCAGAUGCAUUUGUCGAUGUCGACUGGAAGCAAGAAAAGAAGCCGGGAAAUCAAUGAUUCAGUGGAAGCUAAAGGAAAAGCCCCCAAGAAAUGGACAUCGGGAAAAGAGGCUUCAACCUCCCAGCAACAGCCAAAACCGAAAAGUGAAAAGAACUGUGGGGAAGCUGUGCAAAACAGAUUGAAAAUUUUCCACCAUCAAAUUGACAGACGAAGAAAGACGGUAAAGUGUCCUAAUUGAACUAAGUAUUUCAUAUUAGAUUCACAUUAAAAACUAAGAAUUUCAUAUUAGAUUCACUUUUUUAUUAUCUUUUAUGCAUACAUUUUGAACGUAAGAAGAUCCCAUGUCAUCUGGUAAGUAUUGGACUAUUUUCUAAACAGACAAUACACAACAAUACAUCAGAACUGUACAGUUUGGAAAUCCUUGCAUCAGCAAUAUCUUUAUAUCUUGUUUUUUAACACUUAUUUUUGUGUAUAUAUUUGGUGGAAUGAAGGACAAAAUGAGAGAUUUGGAAUUUCUGACAUGCGUAACACGGAAAUCCUUUCCUGUACCACUAAAAAUUCCUGCCUCCUUCAAGCAAUUCAAAACGCGGUGGCCAAUGCGUCCUGAUCUCCAAAGCAUUCUCCAAAAGAUCCAGGACAUCAAGGCCAAAUUCAAAGAUCAUCUUUUAACAGAAGAUAAGGUGAAUGAGGAAUUGGAUACAGUAAAAGAUAAGUUAAAUGAAUUAGAUCAAAAACGACCAGAGGUACACUAAUGAUUACAAAUUUAAUUACUAAGUUUGCUUUCAUGAUCUAAAUCUCCAAUUUAACUUUCUAAAUUGAUUUUUCAGGAACAAACAAGGGACCCUGAUGCAGUCUUCUUUAACACUAAGGUAUGCACAUUUCUUAUCAUUGAUAUUAACUAGCAUAGUGUUAUUAUUUCUUAAAUAAGAUAAACUUUUCUCGUUUGUAAAUCACUCAUGCACAGACCUGUUUUUUCAAAGGUUUUUUAACGUGUUUAGAGGAAUCUUGGAUGGUUAUAUUAAAUAUAUGUAUCCGAAUGUGUCGGUACAUGGACACUUCAAGCAAAAAUGAAGAGUCUGAACAACCUAGAUUUUCAGUAUUAGACCACCUAAUGUUUAGGACUCUCCCUGCUUCUCGUGUCCUGCAUGGACUUUUGCAUUGAAAACUAUACAUAUUGUUGAAUCUAAGCAUUGUAUACAUACUUUUGCAUGUAUAUAUAUGUUUGAAGCUACAAACUUGAAUAUGCAUAUCUUGAUGUCUUUAUUUAUUUAUUUAUUUUUUUUUGUAGUAUAUCAUGUCUCGAUGUAUCAAAUUCGUUCUUAGACUUACCCUUGUAAAGUUUUUGUCUCCUUCUCAAUCUUUUAUUUAUAUUUCUCUUAAAUUUCAUCAGGACACCAACAUGGGGACUGGGACUCUAACAAAAGAGGUAUGAUAUAUGCAUACAUACAUAUAUUGCAUUGGGAAUCAGCUGUUUUAAGAAGCAUUUGGAAACUUGGAUUUCAAAAGUAGUGCAAGUUAAAUGAUAGAAUGUAAAUAAAAUGUAUUGUUUAUAGUUAUUUCUCAGAUACAUAUAUUUAUUGAAUGGGUGUAAGUAAUGAAUUUGGAAGUCAUGUUUUUUCAAUUAAAAAAAUUCAAAUACAUAGUCGCAUUAGAUCUCAAUGUUAUGGAAGAAAAUGUUGCUGCAAACUCUGAUGUUAUUCUGUUAUUUUCUUAUGCCUAUUAGCCGUUGUUGAUAAGCACCGUUUUGGUUCUAUGAACCAUUAAUGAAACUGAGCGUUUUGCUGAAGCCUUCUCAUUAGUGAAACAGUGCGAACUGGAGAGGGAUUACAGCUGUCGAGUAACAGCCACAGUAACCACCUCUCCUAACUGUUGCCGAGUUUCCCAUUCCGGGAGAAUGGCUGGGGAAAAACGGUUAUGCAGUUUUUGAAUCGAAGAAUUCUAUUGUUCCCUUCUCUCACUCGAUCUUCUUCUUCUUCUUCCCCCCUCUUUCUCCGCUAUUCUCUCUGGUUCUUGAGUGCAUUCAUAACACUCAACUGAUUUAUAUAUAAUUAUAUACACAUCAUUUUCUGUAAUUUAUAAGACAGAUGAAAUCAAAAUCAAAAUUUUGAAACUUCAAUAUGGCUACUAAAAAAUUAUGACUUGUAUUCUAUGUUUGUUGUUUUAGUUUUGUUCAGCAUAUCCAUGGCUUUUUUCUCUUGAUCAAAACCCAGAUCAAGGUCAUGGAAGUUUGUCAACUCUUGAAGGAAUACAGUCUCUAUUGAAGAGUUUGGAAAACCAACUUUAUGACGAAAACAACAAUAAAGUGUCUGUCAAAGAUUUCGAAGGAUUAGAAGAGGCAUUGAAGGAAACUAAUGCCAUGGAUCUUCUUCCUGACUACCUCAGACCUAUUGCGAACCAAAUCGAAGAGGCUCGUGGGAAAGCUACUGGGAUUGCCCACGGUUAUGUUCAGGUUUUGGUCUGCGCUGCUAUCAAGGAGAUGCAAGAUUUGGCACCCGUGGAGAUGGAUAUGUUGAAAAAAUGGGCAGCGGCGCUCAAUUAUGCUAGGCAACAUGGUUUUCAAGUGACAUUUGCUGAUCAUUUACUGAGGAAGAAUUUUGAUGCCUACAUUCAUAAUAAAUUUGGGUUGGGUUGGUUCGGGUUGUAAAAUUUUCCAAUUAUUUUGGAUUGGAUCUGUCUCUGGAUUUAGUCAUUUUAUGAUCUGGUUGUUUCAAGUUUAGAUCGUCUUGAGUUUUGAGUUCAGGUCAGUUUGAGUUUGCUUCAAUUUGGUUGUCCCAAAUGUAGAAACUUUGUGGUUUUUGGUACGAAAUUGUGUAGUUUGUUGUGUAAUUUGUAUUGUGUACGUGUGUGCAUGUUGAUGUUAUGUAAUCGUCUUAAUAAGACUUAUGUUGGUGGUAUUUUUCAUGUUUCAUUUUUGUACCAGUAUUUGGAAUUUGAAUUAUGUAAUUGGGUUCGUGUUUGGUUCUAGAGGUGUUCAUGGGUUUGGAUUUGAGUUGAUUUAUAUUUGCAAAAGACCAAUUGAAAUUCAUUCUAAAGGUAGGUUUGGAUGAGCGAUUUGGUGUGGAGCUUAUUUUUUGUCUCAUGUUACAGUAUUGCUACAAUAUGUAAUCUUAUCGCCACCGUUGUUUUUACACUAACCGCAGGUAAACGUACUGCUCAUCCAAAUCCACCCUAAGUUUGCUUAUAUUUAAAAAAUAUAUAUUUAUAUCAUAUUAUUUUAAUAUUUAAUAAUUCUAUAUAUUUUUAUUUAUUAAUUUUUUUAUAUAGUGAUCUUAACAUCAUUUUAAUGUUUAUACUAGUGUAGUAUUAUAUAUCUAGUGUAGGUUUGUUUUCUUAAUAUGUUUUAAAUUACAUAAUAUAUAAAAAUAACAUAAUAUAAAGUAUCAUAAACUUAAAAUGGGUUUGGUUGGGUUGGGUCGGGUCGGACAUUUAAUGUUCAAACUCGAGCUUAGCUCGUAUUUUAAACGGGUUUAAUUUUUUUGUUCAAGUCUAUUUUUCGGAUCUAUUAUUUUUUUCAAACUCUCUCAAUUUUCGGACAGGCCUUCGAACCUAUACGAGUAACUCAAACCAUUAACAAGUCUAUUUGCACUUGUGAUGUAUAUGUGUUCAAAGGCAAAUUUUGUUAGUUUGAAUAUGUAAAUUUAAUUCAUGAUUACGAUGUUAUUACUCAAUUGGGCUUAAAGUAAGAGGAUUAGUUAGACUUUUUUAAUGCAUGCGCGAUAGACUCAAAAGAAUUAGUAUCUCAAGGUCAAAGUUGACGCUAAGUUGAAAUUAAACAUUUAUUUAGGGCUAGUUUAAUAUUACUUUUCAAAAGUACAUUUAAAAAGUGUAGUGAAAAGUUAUUUUUGAAUAAUUUAGUUUAAGAUUUAGUGUUUAGUAUUAUUGUAAAAAAAAUACUUUUAAAAAAUAAAAUAUUAAUUUUAGAUAUGAUAUUAUCAAGUAACAAAUAUGUGUUUAAAUAAUGUUCAAAUUAGUUAAUAUUUUUUCUCCCUAUUUAUUCUAAAUAUUUUUUAUCACACUGAAAUUAUCUCAUUAAUCAGUUAAAAAUAUAUUAAAAUUUUAUUUUCAUAACUAAUUGUGUGGUGGUUUAGUAAUUAGUUUAGGCAAAUACAGUAUUGAAAUAUGAUUGCUUUGAAUUAAUGUUUAUCUAUUAUUUAUUCGUAAGUAAGUAUAAUCUAUCAUUGUUAUGUCGUUUAAAAUGAAAUGAUCAUUAUGUAAGGAGGAAUUCUAGUUUGUGGUUGAUCAGGUUAUUUAGGGGAUUUACUUUAAUGUUUUUGUUACUCAUCUCUCUCCGCCGUGCCUUUAAAAAAUUUCACCUCUCAUGUCAUAAUCCUUUUUAUGGAUUAUCUUGGCAUAAUAUUUUGCAAUUUCUUCCUAUUUUGGCAUCUUCUAAUUUAUAAUUUUUAAUCAUUUAAAAAAUUAAUGAUUUUCACAGAAUUUUAAUAAUUUUUACAACUUUUAAAUAUUAUUUAUACAUGUAUAGUUUUUAAGUUUUCUUCAAACUUUAUAUUUUUUACAAGUUUUUUUAAAAUAAUAUUAUUAAAUUCAAUUAAUUUUUAAAUAAAUUUUAUUUUUACAAUGAUAUUUUUGUUCCCAAUAAAAAAUUAAAACAAUUAUAAGUUUAGGACUUAAAUUGGAUCCAAAAAAUAAGUCAGUCUUCAAAAAGCAGUUUAAUUCAAAUAAUAAAUGAAAAUAAAAUAGGCUUAAAUACAUAUUAGGCACCAAACUUGGCAUCUUCUUUUAAUUUGAUGGUUAUGGUUUUUCGUCCCAACUUGGUACCCGAACAACUUUUCGAUCUAUUAUUUUAGUGCUUCUUUGUAAGUGCUUUCAUUUUCAAUGACGCGAUAAUACCAUAUUGUGGCACAUGAAAAAUAUUAUUUGAAAAUUUGAAAACUUCAAAUUUCUAUAAAAAUUCAAAUAUGUAAAUUUAAAAAAUAUAAUUUUGAAAUUUAUAUAAAUUUUAAAAAAAUCUCAAAAUUUAAAAUAUAUGUAAAAACUGAAAAGAAAAUUACAAAAAUAACAUAAUUUGAGAGUGUCAAGAGUUUUAAAAUUAAUGACGUCAUUAAAAAAUUUACAAUUUCAAGUACUGAAUAACUUAUUUAAAAAUUUACAUAUAAAUUUACGAUUUCAAUACUGAAAAUCAUAAAAUUCAAAGUUAACAAUAUUACUCAUCAUGUUAUACAAAAUGAAACAUGUAAAAAUAACACCAACAUAAAAAUAUAUCAAUGUCUCAAAAUCCAUAUAAUGUUAAAUAUUAAUUUUUCAAAGUCUAUAUUAGUAUAAAGCAUCUCAAAUAUGAUUAUAACACAACAAAAUAUAUGAAUACGAUGCAGAUAAACAAGUAAAUUUAGAAACAGGUAAAUUAUAAAAAUAAUUAUUUUUGUAUUCAAUAACAUAUAUUAAUCAUUUAAAUAAUAUAUUAUUAAUUUUAAAGUAAGUGCUAAUCUAAUAUUAAUCUAACAUUAAUCUUUAAUUUAUAAUUUAUUAGCAAAUAAUGGAAAGUUACAUAUUUUUUUAAAAUAUUUUAAUAACUAAAGUAAAAUAAAAAGAGUAGGAAUCAAAUUGACAAAAAUUAUAAAAAUUGAAGGAUUAAUUGUACCUAAUUUUUUAACAGAGUUAAUAGAAAUAGUUAAUGGAGAAACUGAAAAUGAACAAAUGAAAAAUAAAAAAUUAAUUUUGAGCAAAUAAAAAUAGAAAAAUUAACUCCUAAGUAUAGGAAAUUGCAUGUCUUUUGAGUCUAAAUUUGUUCAUUUCAUAAACCAAUUUUAGGACGAUAACAACAACAAAGUGGAGUACAAUGAUUUUCUAGGCUUAGAGGAUGCAUUAGAAAAAACUACCUGGGAGAAAGUUCCAGAUUACCUCAAACCUAUUGGGAUCUAAAUAAAAGAUGCUCGUGGAAAAGCUACUGGGUUUUCUCAUACUGGAAUACAAAUUCUGGGCUGCGCCGUAAUAAAAGAGAUGGAAGAUAUGUCGCUUGAGGAUUUGGGUUGGGGUACACUCAAAAAGUGGGCAGCUGUGCUGAUUACGCUAAUGAACGUGGUUUUCAAGUAGGAUUUGCUAAUAAUCUGUUGCAGAGGAAUGUGGUUGCCUACUUUCAGAAAAAGGAGCUCUCAUAGUUUAUAUUUAAUCAUGUAUCUAACAUUCUGCUAUGUUUUAAUGUCUCAUUUUGCGUCAAGUAUGUUUCUGGUUUUCAAUGUCUCAUUUGGGUCAUAACCUUAUUUAAUUUGUUUAAUCAAUUUAAUCAUAUGUGUCAUGUAUCAUACUUACAUGGACAAUCUAGUCCAUGUAAGAUCUGUACGAGUCUUUACAAUUUAAUAGGGCAGUUUUGAAUUUUUGAAAUAUUAAUAAGGAUGAAAUAGACAUUUUCAAUUAAGCAAAUUUUGACAAUAUUUUAUUUUAAUUUGAUUAAAUUCUCGUUAAUACUCUUUUUCAAUUUCUCAUAAUUUUAAAAUUUAACAAUUUCAUUACAAGUUUUAAUUAUAUUUGCUCUUUUUUUACAUAAGUCCUAGAAUUACCCAUAGCUCCUCUUUAAACCAUAAAUAAAAAGAUAAUUUGUUUCAGUGCACUUGAUCCUAUAUUCUCCUGCAUUAAUAAUAAUGUCGAUGUCAAUCGAGUUAAGACUCAAUCGAUCAAUUUCUCAAAAGCUUUUUGUCUGAAAUAAUUUAUUAUUCAUUUAAUUUUCAUAAUAAAUUUCUAUUAAUUCUAUAUUUUUCGUAAAAACUUCUAAAAUUUUAUAAUAAACAUUAGGAAUUGAUGCAAAGUAACACAGUUUUCAAAUUUUCAUUUAUCAGCUUUUUUUUCUCACUAUUAUUCUUUUAGGCUCAUGUUUUUGCUUUGUUCAUUUGUAGUUUUCUACUGUUUUUGAAUUCUCAAACUGAUAAUAAUUUUAUAAUGACUAAAAAAUAUUAGAUUUUAGAUACAAACAUAAUAGAGGGAUGAAAUUUGAAAAUUUACCAUUAUCUUCUCAUGAUUAAAUCCUUAAUAUGAGCUUAUGUUCCAAAGUUACAAAUUGAUGAUUAUUUUAUAAUGACUAAAAAAUUUAAUCCUAAAUGUAAGCAUAGUAAGGGAUUGAACUUGUAAUUUUACUAGAACUUAUUAUGCGUUUAAACAAAAAGAACAUGCGUCAUUCAUAAGCCUUCCUUCCUUUUGUUUAAAUAAAUUUAGACCUACCAAAUUGUUUUAAAAAUUUAUUUUUUUUGGGAGUGGGUGGGGAUGCGGGAAGUUGGGCGUGGCAGAACAAAGGCAGCGCGAGAGCUUAGGGGUGAUUUAAUCAAAUUUUUUUGUUAAUCAAAUUUAUGAAUUAUAUUUUAUCAUUCUAAUUUGAUUUAAAAAUUAAGUUAAGUGAAAUAAAAUUUAAAUCUGAGUCAAAUUAAGUAAAUUUAUUUAAAUUAAAUUAAUAUCAAAUUAAAAUCUUACUAUAAUAUAAUUAAUUCUAUAAAGUAUAUAAAAUUAAAACUAUAAAUAUUUGAAGUGAAAUAAGAAAAAAAAACUUUAAUCAUUAAUUAAUUUAUAUAGAUUUUAAAGUUAUUAUUUUUAAAAAUUAAAAUUUUAACUUCUUUUUAUAUAUUAUUUAUUUUUCUUAAAAAAUAUAUUUUUUAAAAAUAAAAAUUUUGAAAUUUUUAUAAAUAUAUGAAAUUUAAAAAAUUAUUUUGAUUUUUUUUUAUAUUUUUUGGUGAGAGAGAUCGAUUUGUUUAUUUUUAAGAUUGAUAAAGGUCAAAGGAGUAUUUAUAUCAAUACAUUAUUCAAAUUAUUUAAAUUAUGAAAUUCGAUUCAACUCUAACUCGAAACUUAAAUUACUUUUAUUACUUUUAUUGAUAGGGAUAAAUUUUAAAAUUAUACAUAAAUUUUGAUUUAACGUGCAAUUGUAUACAUGAGUUUUAAUUUGGAGUAAUUAUGUACGUGAAACUCUAAUUGUGGUUCAAACGUUAAUUUUAAUUUAAUCAUCUAUAUUUAAAUAAUAUAUAUAAAUUUAUUUUUAUAUUAGAGAAAUAUAAUUAUUUAUGUAUGUAAUAUAUAAAUAAAUAAUAUUAUAUCAAUAAUUAUGUUAAUAAUUUACAAAAAUCAAAUCAAAUUAAAAUUUUAUAAAUAAAAUAAUAUAAAAUUAAAAUUUAUGUAUAUAAUUACACGUUAAUCUAUAGUAUAGUUUUUAAAUUUAUCAAAUUUAUCAACGGAGUUUUUAUUUUUUUUACUCUUCCCAGAAAUUUAUGCUCGCAUUUGCUGACGCAUACUAAUUGUCUCGCUACAAAUUAAUAAGCAGAAAGUCAAUCUCGGGCAUGUCUGUCCCUUUCCAAGCUUUCCUUGCUUUUUUUUAUUCAAUCCCCAAAUUUGAAUUAGGUCAAUAUUUUCCCUUCAAGGCGUUGGCUGCCGGUGUUCUCCCCUCUUAUCUUCACCGUAGACAAAUCCAAGGAGUAGGUACUACUUAAUUUACCAGCCCAUUUUCAUCACAGUCCAUAUAUUUCUUGAUUUGAUCUUGCAGAAUUUCUUCUUUUUAUUACUUGAGGAAACUUCGUUUUGUAGGGUUUCGUUUUGAUAGUUUAUAUAUCCGUGGUUUGAUCUUUUUUUGUUCCUCAGGUCUGUGCUAAAUGAGUGAAAACCAGGACAUCCCUUGCCCAAUUGGGGUUGUUUCGGACGCUGAGAGUGAUCCCCCUGAAAAUGAACCGGAUGAUAGCCAGAUGCAUUUGUCAACUAGAAGCAAGAAAAGAAGCCGGGAAAUCGAAGUCGAAGCUAAAGGAAAAGCCCCCAAGAAAUGGACAUCGGGAAAAGAAGCUUCAACUUCCCAGCAACAGUCAAAACCGAAAAGUGAAAAGAACUGUGGGAAAGCUGUGCAAAACAGAUUGAAAAAUAUCAACCAUCAAAUUGACAGACGAAGAAAGGCGGUAAAGUAUCCUAAUUGAACUAAGUAUUUCAUAUUAGAUUCACAGUAAAAACUAAGAAUUUCAUAUUAGAUUCACUUUUUUAUUAUCUUUUAUGCAUACAUUUUGAACAUAAAAAGAUCCCAUGUCAUCUGGUAAGUAUUGGAUUAUUUUCUAAACAGACAAUACACAACAAUACAUCAGAACUGUACAGUUUGGAAAUCCUUGCAUCAGCAAUAUCUUUAUAUCUUGUUUUUUAACACUUAUUUUUGUGUAUAUAUUUGGUGGCAUGAAGUACAAAAUGAGUGAUUUGGAAUUUCUGACAUGGGUAAACCCGAAAUCCUUUCCUGUACCAUCAAAAAUUCCUGCCUCCUUCAAGCAAAUCAAAAAGGGGUGGCCAAUGCGUCCUGAUCUCCAAAGCAUUCUCCAAAAGAUCCAGGACAUCAAGGCCAAAUUCAAAGAUCAUUUUAAAGAUCAUCUUUUAACAGAAGUUACAGUGACUGAGGAAUUGGAUACAGUAGAAGCUAAGUUAAAUGAAUUAGGUCAAAAACGAUCAGAGGUACGCCAAUGAUUACAAAUUUAAUUACUAAGUUUGCUCUUAUGUUCUAUAUCUCCAAAGCUUGCUUUCAUGAUCUAAAUCUCCAAUUUAACUUUCUAAAUUGAUUUUUCAGGAACAAAAAUUUAAUUACUAAGUUUGCUGUCAUGUUCAAUAUCUCCAAAGCUUGCUUUCAUGAUCUAAAUCUCCAAUUUAACUUUCUAAAUUGAUUUUUCAGUAACAAAAAUUUAAUUACUAAGUUUGCUGUCAUGUUCAAUAUCUCAAAAGCUUGCUUUCAUGAUCUAAAUCUCCAAUUUAACUUUCUAAAUUGAUUUUUCAGGAACAAAAAUUUAAUUACUAAGUUUGCUCUCAUGUUCUAUAUCUCCAAAGCUUGCUUUCAUGAUCUAAAUCUCCAAUUUGACUUUCUAAAUUAAUUUUUCAGGAACAAACAAGGGACCCUGAUGCAGUCUUCUCUAACAAUAAGGUAUGCACAUUUCUUAUCAUUGAUAUUAACUAGCAUAGUGUUAUUAUUUCUUCAAUAAGAAACUUUUCUCGCUUGUAAAUCACUCAUGCACAGACCUGUUUUUUCAAAGGUUUUUAACGUGUUUAGAGGAAUCUUGGAUGGUUACAUUAAAUAUAUGUGUCCGAAUGUGUCAGUACAUGGACACUUCGAGCAAAAAUGAAGAGUCUGAACAACCUAGAUUUUCAGUAUCAUACCGCCUAAUGUUUAGGACUCUCCCUGCUUCUCGUGUCCUGCGUGGACUUUUGCAUUGAAAACUAUACAUAUUGUUGAAUCUAAGCAUUGUAUACAUACUUUUGCUUGUAUAUAUAUGUUUGAAGCUACAAACUUGAAUAUGCAUAUCUUGAUCUCUUUUUUUUUCUUUUUUCUUUUUUUGUAAUAUAUCAUGUCUCAAUGUAUUAAAUUCGUUCUUAGACUUACCCUUGUAAAGUUUACGUCUCUCCUUCUCAAUCUUUUAUUUAUAUUCCUCUUAAACUUCAUCAGGACACCAACAUGGGGACUGGGACUCUAAUAAAAGAGGUAUGAUAUAUGCAUACAUACAUUUAUUGCAUUGGGAAUCAGCUGUUUUAAGAAGCAUUUGGAAACUUGGAUUUCAAAAGUAGUGCAAGUUAAACGAUGGAAUGUAAAUAAAAUGUAUUGUUUAUAGUUAUUUGUCAGAUACAUAUAUUUAUUGAAUGGGUGUUAGUAAUGAAUUUGAAAUUCAUGUUUUUUCAAUUUAAAAAAUUCAAAUACAUAAUCGCAUUAGAUCUCAAUGUUAUGGAGGAAAAUGUUGCUGCAAACUCUGAUGUUAUUCUGUUAUUUUCUUAUGCCUAUUAGCUGUUGUUGAUAAGCACCGUUUUGGUUCUAUGAACCAUUAAUGAAACGGAGCGUUUUGCUGAAGCCUUCUCAUUAGUGAAACAGGCGAACUUGAGAGGGAUUACAGCUGUCGAGUAACAGCCACAGUAACCACCUCUCCUAAUUGUUGCCGAGUUUCCCAUUCAGGGAGAAUGGCUGGGGAAAAAUGGUUAUGGAGUUUUUGAAUCGAAGAUCACUCGAUCUUCUUCUUCUUCGUCUUCCCCUCUCUUUCUCUGCUAUUCUCUCUGGUUCUUGAGUGCGUUCAUAACACUCAACUGAUUUAUAUAUAAUUAUAUACACUUCAUUUUCUGUAAUUUAUAUGAUAGAUGAAAUCAAAAUCAAAAUUUUGAAACUUCAAAAUGGCUACUACAAAAUUAUGACUUGUAUUCUAUGUUUGUUGUUUUAGUUUUGUUCAGCAUAUCCAUGGCUUUUUUCUCUUGAUCAACAUCCAGAUCAAGAUCAUGGAAGUUUGUCAACUCUUGAAGGAAUACAGUCUCUAUUGAAGAGUUUUGAAAACCAACUUUAUGACGAAAACAACAAUAAAGUGUCUGUCGAAGAUUUCGAAGGAUUAGAAGAGGCAUUAAAGAAACCUAAAUCCUCGGGUCUUCUUCCUGACUACCUCAGACCUAUUGCGAACCAAAUCGAACAGGCUCGUGGGAAAGCUACUGGGAUUGCCCACACUUAUGUUCAAGUUUUUGUCUGCGCUGCUAUCAAGGAGAUGCAAGAUUUUGCACCCGUGGAGAUGGAUAUGUUGAAAAUAUGGGCAGCGGCGCUCAAUUAUGCUAGGCAACAUGGUUUUCAAGUGACAUUUGCUGAUCAUUUACUGAGGAAGAAUUUUGAUGCCUACAUUCAUAAUAAAUUUGGUUUGGGUUGGUUCGGGUUAUGAAAUUUUCCAAUUAUUUUGGAUUGGAUCUUUCUCUGGAUUUAGUCAUUUUAUGCUCUGGUUGUUUCAAGUUUGCUUCAAUUUGGUUGUCCCAAACGUAGAAACUUUGUGGUUUUCGGUAUGAAAUUGUGUAGUUUGUUGUGUAAUUUGUAUCGUGUACGUGUGUGUAUGUUGGUGUUAUGUAAUCGUCUUAAUAAGACUUAUUUUAUGUUGGUGGUAUUUUUCAUGUUCCAUUUUUUACCGGUAUUUGGAAUUUGAAAUAUGUAAUUGGGUUCAUGUGUUUGUUUUGUUGAACCUAGAGGUGUUCAUGUGUUUGGAUUUGAGUUGGGUUUAAGAAUAAUAUCAACAUACUUUAUUUUUGUUUAAAUUCGGCUCGAUCAAAAUUUAGGCUUAAAAUUUUACUUAAGUCCGUUUAUAUUUGCAAAAGACCAAUUGAAACUUAUUUUAAGUCUGCUUAUAUUAUUUUUUUAAAAAUAUUUAUAUCAUAUUAUUUUAAUAUUUAAUAAUUUUAUACAUUUUUUAUUUAUUAAAUUUUUUAUAUAGUGAUCUUAACAUCAUUUUAAUGUUUAUACUAGAGUAGUAUUAUAUAUUUAGUAUAGUUUUAUUUUUUUAAUAUGUUUUAAAUUGCAUAAUAUAUAAAAAUAACAUAAUAUAAAGUAUCAUAAACUUAAAAUGGGUUGGGUUAGGUUCGGUCGGGCCGGGCAUUACAUGUUCAAACUCGAGCUUAGCCCGUAUUUUAAACGAGUUUUAUUUUUUUUGUUCAAGUCCAUUUUUCGGAUCUAAAAUUUUUUCCAAACCCUCCCAAAUUUCGGAUGGGCUUUCAAACCUAUACGAGUAACACAAACCAUUAACAAGUCUAUUUCCACCUGUGAUGUAUAUGUGUUCAAAGGCAAAUUUUGUUAGUUUGAACAUGCAAAUUCAAUUCAUGAUUACGAUAUUAUUAUUCAAUUGAGCUUAAAGUAAGAGGAUUAGUUAGACUUUUUUUUAUGCAUGCACGAUAGACUCAAAAGAAUUAGUAUCGCAAAGUCAAAAUCAACGCUAAGUUGAAAUUAAACAUUUAUUUAGGGCUAGUUUACUAUUACUUUUCAAAAUUGCUUUUAAAGUGCCGUCAAAAGUUAUUUUUGAAAAGUUUAGUUUAAGAUUUAAUGUUUAGUAUUGUUGUCAAAAAGUACUUUAAAAAAUAAAAUAUUUAUUUUUGAUAUGGUAUUAUUAAGUAACAAAUAUGUGUUUAAAUUAUUUAAUAUUAUUGUAUUUUAGUAAGAAUAUAAAAAUUAAUAAUUUAUUAUAACUUAUUGUUAAUACUUUAAUAUAUGAAAUAUAAAUUUUAAAUAUUUUUUAAGCAAUAAAUAUUAAUUAUUUAUAAAAUUUAAUAUAAACUUGUUUGGCACAACCUUUCUUCUAAAAGUAAUUUUUUUAAGCAAUACUAAAUAAGGCUAUACAAGACUUUGUUUCAAAGAAUUUUCAAAUAAAAAAAUAUUGUUAUUGUGAUACGAACUCGCCCGAGGACUCAACCAACUCCAAACGAGAUCCAAUUGAACUGCCAACUACUUAAUUAUAUUUGAAAAAGUUCUAGAUGUGUUUACUAUAGGAUUAUUAGAAGAUUAAAUUUGUUAUUAGAUCAAUAAACAAAACUUAUAUUAGCACUUCCAUUACUAUUCAAACGAACUACGAUGAAUGUUCAGUGAUGAAAAUAUUUGAUUUUGUAUAGAUUUUGUAUAGUUUAAUGACCAAAAUGUAAUUCUAAGCCUACAUAAGAGACUAAACAUGGAAUUUAACCUCUACAAAAUUUCACAUAAUCUAAUAUCCCUACUACCCUCUUUUUCUCGCCCCAAAAAUUGCGUAGCAGAGCUCGAUCUUCUCUUUUUCUCGAGCUUUCUUUAAUGGCACUUGCCCAUUCCUUUUUUUUUAAUAAAAUUCUCACCGACGACUUUCUUGGUUUCAUCCGCUUUACACUUUGGUAGUUCCCCCUUCUCUCCUCUUCGCCGCUGUAGACACAUCAAAUCGGUAAGCACGGCUGAAUUUUUUUUCAACUGUUAUUCGAACCCCGGGUUCACGGCUGAAUUUAUCAAUUCAUUAUGUCUUGUUUUGGUUUUGCUUUUAUUUGGUAAAUUUCCUUUCCUAUCGGUAAAACUUCAAACAGUAAAACCUUGAAAAUAAACACCAAAAUCUCAAAAUUAAGGGGCUCCAGAUUUGGCCGAGGAAUCUGCAAUCACAUCCUCUGAGCAUACGUGAAAGAGACCACCCCCAAUCUCCUUGUAAGCGUUUCGUUUUAGUAGUUUUAUAUAUCUGUUGUUUGAAAGAACAUUCGGAUGCCUUGUUCUGAAUUGGGAAAAAUAUGUUGUUGUUUUUGUUCAAUUAUUUUAUCUGAUUUUAUUUAAAUUCUCAUAUCCGUACAAGAUAACUGGCAGAGGCAACAGUAGGGAUCCUACUGAAAUGGACCUUCAACAGCUUCAAAAUGAUACGCCAUUAGAGAGAUACAAUGCUGAAAAGAACCGGUACAAGGAAAACUGUUAUAUUGGUGAAUCAUCAACUUCCCAGCAACAACCCGAACCAGAAAUGAAAGAAGAGCAUCACUUUCCAGAAGAGCGUAGUUAUUCCAGAUCUGUAUCGGAACGGAUCGAAACUCUCAUGGACAGGAUUUACAGACAGAAAAUGACCGUAAGCGUCAUAAUUGAAUUUAGUAAUUCAUAUUCAAUUCGCAUUAUUGCUAUUUACUAUACAUACAUGUUGAAGGUAAAAAGGUCCCUCAUUGACUGACUUGCAAGGAUUGGACCUUGCUUUAUAAAGCACGGUUUAUCCUUACCCUAUGGUACCUUUUCUCUAUGGACAAUAUCGUGAGAACGUUUGUCUCCAAUCUAACACAGAAUAUUUUGUUUCUUAAUACUUGUUUUGUGUGUAUAUUUGGUGAAACGAAGGACCAGGAGGCAGAUAUGAAAUCUAUAUUAUGGUUAUAUCAUAGGGUGAAGACAUUACCCCUAGUCAAUGCCCAAAAUAUCAAGACUAACGAUGGCAAGUUCAAGGAUGGCCAUUUGGCAGAACAUGAAAUGAUGAACAAGUUCCUUGAAACAUAUGAGUUAAAGCAAAAUUUGCUAUACGAAAAAUUAGACCUACAACUAUCUGAGGUAAUCUAAUGUUUACGAAUCUAAUAACUAAGUUUGAUUUCAUGAUCUAAAUCUCCAAUUUAAUUUUCUAACUUGCUUUUUCAGGAUUCGGGAAAUGCGAGUUUACCAACCGAGCAAAAUGAGGUAGGCUAAUAUUUACAAAUCUAAUUGCUAAUGGUCAGUUUAGCAUUGCUUCUUAGAAACACUUUUUGGGACAAAAAACACUUUUGAGAAAAAAACCAUUGCUAAACAAGAUGCUUUGAGUUUUUGAAAAGCAUCACUAAACUAGCCCUAAGUUUGAUUUCAUCAUCCAAAUCUCCAAUUUUAACUUUCAAACAUGGUUUUUCCGGACUCAGAAAAAGCGAGUUUACCAACUGGGCUUCUUACGGUAGGUUUCAAUAUCCCAAGUAAUUCUUAAACUUGCCCUUAUUUUCAUCUCUCCUUCACAAUCAUUUUUUUUUUUCUCUCGUACAUUUCUGGAUUAAAUGUGAAGACUCUCAGAAAGGAGGUAUAAUACAUAUACAUACUGCAUUGAACAUCAGCUGGCCUAACUAGCAUUUGAGAACAUGGAUGGUAUAAGGUAUCUGAUAGAACACACACAUACACUACAUUGAACAUCACUGGGUCUAACUAGCGUUUGAGAGCAUGGAGGGUAUAGGCUAUAUGAUAGAACACUUAUAAAUGUAUCAAAUCCAUAAAUUUGUUCAAUGCAUAUUAGUAAAUUCAUAUAUUUUAUAUUGUUCAAAUACAUCACGUUAAAUCUCAAUCCUACUCGUCGUUCUCAUAAUUUAUACAGUAAAUCAGAUCCAAAUCCAAAAUUUUAAAAAUUCAUGUUUCGAAUAUGACCUUUUUUGUGUGUGUUUAUUGUCUUAGUUUUCUUUGGCGUGUGCUCCUGCUCAAGAUCGUGGAAGUUGCAAGUCUUUUGAGUCUAAAUUUGUUCAUUUCAUAAACCAACUUUACGACAAUGACAACAACGAAGUGGAGUACAAAGAUUUUCAAGGCUUAGAAGAUGCAUUAGCAAACACUGCAUGGGGGGAAGUUCCAGACUACCUCAAAUCUAUUGGGAUCCGAAUAGAAGAUGCUGGUGGGAAAGCUACUGAGUUUUCUCAUACUGGAAUACAAAUUCUGGUCUGCGCUGUAAUUAAAGAGAUGGAAGAUAUGUCACUUGAGGAUUUGGAUUGGGGUACAUUGAAAAAGUGGGUAGCUGCUUUGAAUUACGCUAAUGAACAUGGUUUUCAAGUAGCAUUUGCAAAUAAUCUGUUGCAGAGGAAUGUGGUUGCCUACUUUCAGAAAAAGGAGCACUAUCAACUCUCAUAGUUUAUAUUUAAUCCUGUAUCUAACAUUCUGCUAUGUUUUAAUGUCUCAUUUUGCGUCAAGUAUGUUUAUGGUUUUCAAUGUCUAAAAUAGUGAGUUGUUGUAUUAUGGUUUUCAAUGUCUAAAAUAGUGAGUUAUUGUAUUGGGUAUGUUUUUGAGUCAUAACCGUAUUUAAUUUGUUUAAUACAUCAAAAACCCCCAAAAAAAUUAAAAUAAAUAUUUUUCAAUAAAUAAAAAUAUAUGUAUUUAAAUAACACUAAAAUAAAUACAGGCUGAACUAGCAAAUGUCUCUAAAGUCUAAAAUAGUAGCAAAAUUAAUAAUAAAACAAAAAUUAUGCGAUAUCAAAACAAUAAUAACAAAAUUGAUGUAAUAUAAUAGUGAAAUGACAGAAAAAUAAUGACAAAAUAGUAAAAAAAUAACAGUAAAUUUUUUUACAAAUUUGGGUUGGGUUGGAUCGAGACCAGAAAAAGCUUACUUGAGACUCAAGCCGUGUAGAAAACAUGUCUUAUUUUUUUGUCCAAGUUUAUUUUUUAGACUUAUAUUUUUGCUCACACACUCACUUUUCGGAUAAGCCUUCAGAUUGAAUCGGGUAACCCAAUCCAUGAUCAGGUCUAAUGUAAAGUAACACAGUCUUCAAUUUUAUUAUUUUUAUUUCUAGCUAUUGUUCUGUAUAUACUAGUAUGAUUCCUAUGCUUUGCUUUGGGUUGAUUAUUUAUUUGUAUCAAAUCAUAGAAUGAAAUUUGAAGGUUAUAAUAUGAUUUAAGUUCUUGUACACUUCAUACAUUUAAAUGUUAGUCUAUUUAUUUCAUUUUUUAGGAAUAUAAUCCUACUUUUCAAAAUAAAAAAUCCAGGUUCAAUCGUUAUUGCCAUUAAAAUUAUUCAUUUAAAUUCAAUGGUGUAACAUUUUAAAAUUGAAAAUUUUCACUCAAUAGUGAUAUAAUAAAAAAUUACGUUAAAAAUGCUUAUGUGAUUUUUUUUCUUAAAAACACGCAUUUGAACACGUCAUGAUAGAAUAAUUAUUUUGUUGGAAUAGUGUUCUUUAAAAAAUGACUACAACAUUGUAAUUGAAAUAAUUAACAAUGUUAAUUAUUUAAACUAAUUAUGACAUUAAAAAAUUAGAAGGAUAAAAUUAUGUAAAAAAAUUAAAGUAUAUGAAUUUAAUCCAAGUUUUAGCAUAGUGUAGGGGCUAAAAUUAAAAUUUGACUAUUGUCUUAUAAUGUAAAAAAAAAGCAAGGCAAACCCAAAAGAUGUGUUCGUCUCUAAGAUUUUAAAGUAUUCAAGUUAUAUAUAAUAACAUAACAUUUUAAUUAUAUUAACUAUUUGAACUAAGUAAUAAUAAUAUGUAAAUAUAGGACCGAAUUAUGUUAACAAUUAAAAUAUAAAGAUUAAAAUUUUAAUUUAAAUAUAAUAGAAGGAUUAAAAUUAAAAUUAAACUAUUUUGUAAAUUGCAAAAGAGAAAAAAAGAAGAGAGGCAUGGGUGGGUGUCCAUGUGUCAAUAAUAGAAGGACUUUCUUUUUAGAUAUAGGUACUGGUAUAGUUUCUCAAGAGUUAAUUAUUUAUUUUGAUAAAUUAUGGAGCAAAAAUUUGAAGGUUGAAAUAUACUGUAAUUUUAUGCACAUUCUAUAAAUUUAGAAUUUAGUCACAUAAUUUUUUUUGGGUCUUUAGGUCUAAUUUAGUCAGUGAAAUAUGAAAAGUUACAAAAUGAUCAUCAACUAUUUGAUUUUGUCAUUUUUAAUCAUUUAUCGUUAAAUAGCUAACCAAAAGAUGACAUGACAUGAUAACUUUUAAAAUUAACAUAACAGUGAAUUUAACCAUCAAAAUUUAUACAUUGUAUCAAUUUUAAUAUUAGGUUCUAAAAAUUUUAAUUCUUAACAUUUACACAUGGUGUAAUUUAAUCAUUUUUGUUGUUUUACUUUUCUUUGUGAUCAUUUUGCCUAAAAAACAAAGAAAAAAAAGAAAAACAUAUUUAUCACUUAAAUUUGAUUGAAAAUAUCUCCAAAAUUCUAAUAUAAUAAAUUUCAUCAUUUAUCAUUCUUUAAAAUUAAUCCUCAAUGAUAUAAAAGAAAGUAAAAUUGCGAAAAAAACUAAAUUAUUAUUAUGGAUAAAUAUUAAGUGUCGAAACAAUUUUUUGAAAACAAAAAUUUAGUUGUCGACUUUAAAAAAACAAAAAUUGGAGUCACCACCGAUCCUUUAUUGAGGUGUGAUCAGCUCACCUCAAAAACUAUUUUGGUCUGCGAAUUUUGAGAAAACAUGUUCGGGAGUCAGUUAUGCACGAGGAAGGAUUAGCACCCUCAUAAUGCCCAAAAUCGGUACCGAAUUGAUUAUUUAAUGUCUUAAUGUCAAAAGUUUGAAAAGAUUUUUAAAAUAUGAUCCUUGUAUUUAAAAAACUUGUAUAAAUCAAAUUACAUAUUAAAAUCCUCUUAUUUAUGGAAUAUUCGAUUGUUUAAGUUAGAUGAAGAAAUCGAGACUCAAUACGUUAGAGUACAAUUUCUCAAAAUUCUCAAACUUUGAAUAUUAUCUUUUUUAUAGAAAAAAUUUCAUCUCAAGAAAACAAUAUGUCAUACCCAAUACAUUAGGACACAGCAUGUUGAAUUCCCAAAAAUGAUUUUAAUUUAUGCGUUUUGAAAAAAAUAUUCUCGAUUAUUUAGGGUUAACAAAGAAAAUUAGAACCCAAUACGUUAAAACUUAAUCUUCUCGAAAAUCCCAAAUAUCAAAUAUUACAUUGUCUUGAAAGCCUUUGAACAAAAAUAGUUUUAAUGCUUUAAUGAAAUCAAACACAUUUUCUUUAAAAGUAUAAUAAAAUGUUAAUAUACAACAUGAAACAAAUACUUUAAUUUAAAAUAUAUAUGAGUAAAUUUUGAAAAUAUGUACAUGAAUAUAUUAAAACAUGUAUAUAUAAGUAUACAUAUAUAUAUAAAAACAUGAAAUACACAAAAAAAAAAACUUAUAAUAAUUCUAAAAAAGUACAUAUAUACAUAUUAUUGAAAAUGCAUGUAUAUGUGCAUGGAUUAUGAAAUAUAAAAGAUGUAUAUGUAUUAUAAAUUGUCAAUGCAUAUAUAUAUACACAUGAAUACAAAAGUUAUGAAAAUAAAAUAUAUAUAAAAUAUGUACAUGUAUUAGUAAAUUAUGAAAAUAGGUAUAUAUAUAUAUAAAAUAUGCGGAAAAUAUAUUUAUAAUAAUUUUGAAUAGUGUACGAAUAUAUAUAUUAUAAAAAAAAUGUAUAGAUAUGUAUGGAUUAUAAAAUAUGGAAAAUGUAUAAAUAUUAUAAAAUGUAUACGUACAUAUAUAUAUUUGUGAAGGAAAAAAAAAGAAUAUUUAGAUAUAUAUAGAUACGUAUAUAAAUUGUAAAAUAUAUAUAAAAAAUGUAAAUACAUAUGUAUAUAUAUAAAUUAUAAAAAAUAAUAUACGUAUAUUUUUAAAAUGUUUACAUAAAUAAAUGGUUAUAAUAAUAAUAAUAAAUAAUGAUAAUACUAUUGAAGUUAACUAAUUUAAUAGCAAAAAGGACAAAGAUGACUAAUUUAAAACUUAAAACAGUAAUUUGGGGCGAAUCCGCAAUUAAAUAAAAAAUAAAAACAGAAAUAGGAUCAAAAUGAAUGCACAGACAAUAAAAAGGGACCAAAAUAAAAAUAUUCCUGCCCUUCAAAACGCAGCAUUUUGCGCAAGACUUAAUUGAAAUCAAAGAAAAAUUUUGGGCAAAAUUGAAAAAUAAAAAAACUUGAUUACAAAGUGAUAGAAAAUCGGAAGGGCUAAAAGUGAAAUUACCCCCUACAUUAGGAAAUGCGCGGAUCUUGGGACCGGGUCGGGUCGACGCGCGGAUCCUCCCUCACAAAACGGCGCCGUUUUGCUUUAAUAUUAAAAUAAAAAAAGGGUUCUGUUUCAUUUCCUUUUUUCUUUUUUUUUUUAAAUAAACAGAGGGGAAAAGGGGGAAAAAUUAUCUGACCUUAGCACCUCCACGCCGCCGCCGUCAGCCCACCGUGAAGCCACCACGACCGGCGCUCUGCACCAGUUAAAGCGCUUUUUCCUUUUUUUUUUUCUUUAAAAAAAGUAUGAACAAAUAUCAGAGGGAAAAAAAAACUCGGAAAAAAAAAGAAAAAAAACAAAUCAACCUCAAAAUUGCUGUCUUUCUCUGUUUUUUAAUAGUUUUUUACAUAAUCCCCACAAUCCAUUUCCAAUCGGCCUUUUAUACCGAAAUAAAUAAUAAUAAUAAUAAUAAUAAUAAUAAUAAUAAUAAUAAUAAUAAUAAUAAAAUCCUAUAUCUUGCUUGUUUGCUGUGGUUCGUGGUUUGUUUGCAGGAACAACGUGCGUGGUGCGGGGCGACGUUCUGCGACGUUCGCGGAGUUGCUGUGCGUGGGGUGAGGGGCAGUUGCUGCGACACAGGCGGCUGCUAAAGGGUUUCAGAAACCCUAAGUUUCUGGGAUGUUCUUCCAAAUCGGGCUAGGGUUUGGGCCUAGUGUAUUGGGCCAAGGGUAUUUGGGUAAUGUAAUUUUUGGAUUUUGGACUGUUUUAUUGUUUUGUUUUUUUAUAUCUAUUUGUUUGGGCCCGGGCCUAAAAUUGUGUAUUUACAUUAAGGAUUAAAAUUAUUAUUAUGUUAAUUUUAAAAUUAAUUAAUAAUUUAAUCACCAAUGAUAAAAAAGAAAUAGUUAAAUUACCAUUUUAUAAUUUUAUAAUUUUAUUGACUGAAUAAUUGGGUCACUAAUCCUACAGUUUACCUAUUUUUUAAUCAGUUCAGCCGCACUAACUAUCUUUUAGUUAAAACCCUACCGAUAAAUUGCAUCAUUUUCAGCUUUACUAUUCAGCGGUGGCUGCCCCUUUUCUUCUCUACCCGUGAGAGCUACUGAAAUUUGCAGACUUUCUUUUCUUCAUUUCGUAGUCGUUUCGAGUUUCCUUAGUUUAUAAUUUUCUUUCAGUUGUUUGAAGAAAACAUUUCGGUGUUGUUGAUUUGCUUGCUCUUUUUGUUUUUUAUUUGAUUUUUUUAACGACUCAUCAUCUGAUCUGAGUUAAAAUUUUCAGAUCUGUACAGUUUUUUUUGAAUAGUCUCCAAGCAACGAUGGACCUUCAACAGCUUGCGAGGGAGACAUCUUAAGCACAAUAUGACUAAACGAACCUCCAUUGUUGGCAGGAAGCAAGAAAAGAAGUCGGGAGAGAAUUUUCGAUCGGUUCCCUUUAGCUUCUCAAAACUUAUCCGAAAUCCUUUCCCGGCUUCUUUUCUUGCUUUCGUUUAAUUGUUCGUUUGCGUUGUGCUUCAGAUGUCGCACUUCCAGGCUGUUUGAAGUUGUUUGUAGGCUAACCUAAUCUCCAUGGAAGAAAUCCAGUAGCCGAAGUUGAGGUGAAGUGGAGAUUGUUCUAAAUAACACUAUAAGUUCGAACAAUUCGAUCAGCAACGAUCAGAUCUACGCCAAUAUUUACAAAUCUAAUUAUCAAGUUUGAUUUCAUUAUCUAAAUCUUAAUUUAACUUUUUAACUUGUGGACUUUGUUGCAUCCUUCAGUAAUAAUAUGGUAUCCACAUUUUUUUGUCAUUGAAAUUAACCAUUACAUAGAAUAUUUCUUAUGUAUAGAUCGCAUUAUAAUUAUGUUGUCCUUUUUCAUACACAGAUUUGAUUUUAGACCUAAUACAAAGACUUUGAUUUGAUUUGGUUGUGAGUUUUGAACAAUGGUUCACUUUUCAAAUUUUGUUAGAUGAAUCUUCGAUCUUAUACUUGUAUCCGAAUGUGUCAUUUAUAAAUAUAAUGUCUUUCCUCAUUCACUAGACUUGCAAAAAAGUCAUUUUCAACUUUGAUUCGGAUGUUAAUGUCGAAUACAUGUUUGCAUCUAACAUGGGUAUAUUUAACUUCUUGUAAGGUUUUUUAUAUGUUGAAAAUGGACACUUCUAGCAAAAUGUAGAAUCCGAAACGGGCCAGAAAUCUAAUGUUUAGGACUUUCCCUGCUUCUCCAGUCUUGCAUGGAUUUUUGCAUUGAAAACUAUAAAUAUUGUUGAAUCUUUGUAAGCACUGUAUACUUACUUUUGCAUGGUUAUACCAUUGGAGCUACAAACUUGAAAAUGCAUAUAUUGACCUCUGUUUCCUUUUUGCUGUAUAUAUCAUAUGCUUCAAUGUCUCAAGUCAUUUUUAGAUCUUCACAUUGAUCGUUUAUUCAUAUUUCUUUUAAAUUUCUUAAAUUUCAGGUGGUAGCAACGAGAGAUUAGGAAAAGAGGUAUGGGUAUUAUUUCUCUGUUGCAAUAUAUGACAAUAACUUGGAACAUUCUUCUCUGUUUUUUUUUUGUCAACCGAAGUGGAUGUUUCAGAUUUCAAGUGCUUAAAAAAGCACUGAAAAACUAAUCGCUGUAAGAUUCGAGCGGGCUCGUGGAAAAGCUACUGAGGUUUCUCAUACCGGCAUCUGAAUUCUGGUCUGUGCAGCAAUGCAAGAGAUGGAAAAUGUGUCUCGGAAAAUUCGGGCCACGUUGAAGAAUUGGGGAGUGCAAUCAACAAGGUAAUGAUUGCUGAUCUCUUUUGGCUUUAGCUUUGUGAAUUCCUUUUAUUAAAAAAAAAACAAAGAACGUAAAAAAAUAAAAUGAAAUUAAAACCCAACAAAAAAGCGGUAUUCCAAAAAAAGAAGGCAUGAAUUUAAGAGUCCGGGUUUAUAAUCGAGCUAAGCUAAGACUCCUUUUGAAUGGACUGCGGUCACACCUACAAUUGUUACACCUACAAUAAUUAAUUUCAUUUCUUAUCUCACACCUACAAUUUUUUUAACGGUACUUUAAUUAAAUCUAUUAAAAAAAUAGAUACAUGUUCCUCUCAGAUUGUGAAAUAACAAUAAUUUAUUAUUUUUGUAAUUUUUUUUUAAGUUUGGACAAAAAAAUCUUGAGUAUUAAACUAAGAGAAGAUGGUAAAUUUGGGGCGAAAUGCUUAUUUAAACCUACUUCCUUUAAAUUUAUUAUUUGGGUAACCUAUUUUUGGGCUUUAAAUUUAUUUUUUUUAUAUUAAGGCUUGAAUUUUCUUUUUAUCUAAGUUGGGUCAUGAACUAAUUAAUUGAUCUCACAUUAAGGCCUGAACUUUUUUUGUGCUCAAGUUAGACCUCGAAUUAGUUGAAUUUAGUAAUGUCAUUAUAAUAAAUGUAAAAAUGAAACUUAUAAAGUAAACUAUUUAAAUAUUUUAAAAUUUAUUAAAAAUUAUGCAAAUAUAAAUAAUAUUUGUAAGUUGCCAAGUUGUUAUGCUAAGAUAACCUAUAAAAUGGAUAAUGACAUGAGAGAUGAUUAACAAGAACAUUAAAACAAAUCUCAUAAACAACUUGUUCAACCACAAAAUAGAAAUCUUGCUUCCAAAAUGAUCAUUUUAUUUUAAGUGACAUGUCAAUGAUACAUUGUAUCUGUUUAUGAAUAAAUAACAGAUAAAUGUCAGCCCAAAGCAAUCAUAUUUCGAUAUUGUAUUUGUCUAAAUCGAUUACUGAACGACUAGUCAAAGAAAAUGGUAGAUAAUCACAUAAUUAAUUAAAAAAUAUUAUUAAUAAGAUGUUUUUUAACCAAAAAAUAACAAUUUUUUAAAGAAAAAUAAAUUAUUGAUUAAUUAAUAAAACAAUCUCAGUGUGAUCCAAGAAGAUAUUUAGAACCGACAAGAGAAGAAAAAAAAUAGAUGUGGUGUCGUUGAUUUACUUGUCAGUUCUAUUGUUUUUGAUUCAUCAUCUGAUCUGAGUUAAAUUUUCCAGAUCUUUACAAGAUGAUCAACAGCAACAAUGGGGAUUUGUUACAUAUGCUAUGAUGGACCUCUAACAGCUUGAGAGCGUGACAAUUCCACGUGAGUGAAUCUCUAUUGUUACUCGAUGAUAACUGGGUGAACUCUAUGUCGGAUAAAGGCAAAAAUAAUGUGACCGUGAAGAUGUUUCAGAUAAGUUCCUUUGCUUCUUUUCUGGCUUCGGCUAACAUAAAGUUCACCUGGUUAUCAUCGGGUAACAAUGGUGGUUGUUUAACUUUAAACAAUAAACAAUCGGAUGAUUCGCGUGGUUCAAAUGUCACUCUCUCAUGCUGUUUAAGGUAC